RNAcentral lists this long non-coding RNA (225 nucleotides) under Zostera marina. RNAcentral's name for it is "long non-coding RNA (ZMAR_LNC005772)". The record is from RNAcentral. Lineage: Eukaryota; Viridiplantae; Streptophyta; Magnoliopsida; Alismatales; Zosteraceae.
CUGAGGUGUGAUGAGAUCUUCUUGUUCUUUUGGAGUGAUGAGUGUGAUGCUUUUUGUGGUGGGGAGAUUUUUUUAUGUGAUGCUUUGGAGAUGAUAACGGACUCUGGCGUGGUGGAGAGUGAAGGAGAUGCUUUGCCGCCGACGGAAUUGUUCCAAUAGAAUCGGCGGAGGUAGAGUCAGAUUCUGUUCUGUUCUCGCUGUGGGAGGCAGACUUGUUAAAUGCGG